GGAGGGUGCGAGCGUUGUUCGGAAUCACUGGGCGUAAAGGGCGUGUAGGCGGUCCGCUAAGUCUGAUGUGAAAGCCCGGGGCUCACCCCCGGAAGUGCAUUGGAAACUGGCGAACUCGAGUCCCGGAGAGGAGAGUGGAAUUCCUGGUGUAGCGGUGAAAUGCGUAGAUAUCAGGAGGAACACCGGUGGCGAAGGCGGCUCUCUGGACGGUGACUGACGCUGAGACGCGAAAGCGUGGGGAGCAAACAGGAUUAGAUACCCUGGUAGUCCACGCUGUAAACGAUGAGCACUAGGUGUCGUGGGUAUUGACCCCCGCGGUGCCGCAGCUAACGCAUUAAGUGCUCCGCCUGGGGACUACGGCCGCAAGGUUA
Molecule: ribosomal RNA, 371 nt
Filed under: uncultured bacterium
Lineage: Bacteria
Description: bacterial SSU rRNA
Rfam family: Bacterial small subunit ribosomal RNA
Source: RNAcentral